This is a long non-coding RNA of Dicentrarchus labrax (European seabass), 8513 nucleotides long. RefSeq lists it as uncharacterized. The record is from RefSeq and is a predicted model, not a curated record. The transcript is spliced from 4 exons. Lineage: Eukaryota; Metazoa; Chordata; Actinopteri; Moronidae.
ACAACUUGCAAACAGCCAAGUACAGAUCACAGUGAUAAACAGAGAGAGUUGCAGCAUCAGGAAUUCACAUGAGGAAAAAUUAUGAUGGAUUGUGUAACAGCUAAUAACUACCCUGUUAAGAUAAAUCAAAUAAUAUUAUUUUAGUAGCUACAGAUGAACUCCACAGAUAAUUGUUAUUCUUAAGAAAGGAAAUAUACGACUCGGGCACUGCAUUCAUAGGAACUGCAGCACAUCAAGUGAUUUUGUUUCACAGACUCCACCCAUGAGAAUUCCAACUGCUCUGUGUAAGUAGAUGUUGAUAUUAACAGCAAAGCUUCGAAGUAAGAGCUCCCUGGCAGGGUCUGACUGAAGCCAUUGUGUAUAAGAACAAAGGGCUGACAAUCAAGCAGUAUUGUUUGUGUGACACUAUAACUAACGUCUGACACGUGCACACAGGGGUGAUCCUCACAGACGGGCUGUAUUGUUGGCUGAGUGCUGUGUGACACACCAGGCAGGCAAUGGUACACUGAUGACACUGACACGAGAGCGGAGGAAUCACAAGCAACCACAACCUUGGGGAGUUUAAUGAAGCUGUCCACCAGCCAGUUUUAGAGAUUUUUCAGAUUCACGUACAGCACAACACCACCACUCUAUCCUACCCCACCUGCUCUUUGCAAAUAAAAAAUAUUGACACUCUUCCGAGAGACCUCUUACUGUAUGAAAACUAGUCUAAAGCCAGUAAGAUUCUCCUUACUAGCCUCUGCCUCCCACCACUUCUGUACUGUAAGCCAGCUGAAGCGUUCAAGAGUCCUUAGGCAAAAGGAGAAAGUAGCACUCUUUUUAAUCAAUGAAGUGGGUAGUAUAGUUGACCUCUAGCCCAGUCAGCUAACUCCGUCAAUUACAUCAUGUCUGCAUCAGUGCCAAAGAGUUAUUUCCAUCCCAGAAUAAAACUUUGUAUGAUGAUAAUUUGCCAAGCACGGUAUGACAGAAGUGUUAUACUGCUGAGCGUGCAUCACAUCUCUUCAUGGCAAAACCACACAUGUAAAUCUGCCUGUCUCUGAGGCAGCGGGGUACUGGACGCCAAAUGUGUCUGAUUUCUACCGGCAUAACAUUUGUAAUUGUGAGGCAUUACUAUUAGCCAAGCCACUAUAUCACAAAUAAAAACAAAUAAAAACAACAACACCAACAACCACAUCAACAUAUUGGGUAGUUAUACAUUGAGAGGCCAUCAUAGAAAAAAACAAAAACUUCCCACAACAACUUUACAGAGGCCUAGCCUCCCGAUGUAAUCCUUGAAUAACCAUUUUGGAGUUUCAGCUCUGACAUUUUACCAGGUUCUUUGUGUUCUGGAUAUGUUUUAUGACUCUGGAGCCCAUGAGUCCCAUUCAAACACUGCUGUAAUAUGUCACUGAUGACCUGCAGAAUUUAGAUAGUAGCUGUAUGAAUGUGCUUAUUCAAAAGUGCCUGAAAAAUGCAAACUCAUUUGACACUUCUAGUCAAUUUCACCAACAAAAAAGUACAUGAAAAGGCGUACUUUUUAUUUUUGAAAAAUAAUGACAUUUAUUUAAUUAAAACUGUAUGCGAUUUCUGUUUAAUUAAAAAAAACAGAUUCCAAAAAAAAAAAAAAAAGUGUGGAUUCCAUAAUUAGACUUUUGUUUUAAUAUGUAAAAACCAUCAUCUGUAUAAAUAGAUCUGUGUUUGUCACCUCUUAAAUAAUGUAGCUCGGCCUGUCAAUGGCAGAGCGCUGUCAAAAUAAUUAGCUAAUGCAAAUGAGAGCUUACAACUUCAGGAAGCCACCUCUGCAUAAGAAUUGAACCUCUGUGUUUUGCAUCUAGAGUUAUAACAAUAGCAUGACAUAGCAAAUGAUGGAGGGAUGAGUGCUAGCUCCUAUUGCAACAUACCACAUGUUUGUAUUAGCAUAGCUAAUUAUGCAUAAUUGAGUGCUUUCUACUAUCCCAUCUCCUGAGGCCUAUGUCUAACUUCUGUUGUAUUUAUGCAAAAGUUACUUGGAGACAACACAAUCCAAUUACACAUAGUGUACAGGGUGUGCAUGACGCAUAAUUAGGAUUUGAUCACAGCUCCAAAAAAUAUCUUGAUCUAUAACACAGCCAACAGACCCCUGUCUUUGACUUUAACUUGUUUAAGUUCAAAAGAUGUUACAUGAGAUAGAAUAGUACUGAAAACUCUAUAUAAUGAAAUAAACAUAUGUCAAAGUAUUUCCAAAUUAUUUCUAAAACGUUAUCUGACACGAUCUGAAUUCUUGUUGUGGUAAAUGGAACCUGCCCAGUACUCCAGGGAUGGGGAGGCCAACAAAAACUCUGUGGUCAAAUGCUGGACAGCUACAUGACCUUCACUCCUUUAAGAACUGUUAAAUUAAAUAAAAACAGCUGCACAAGUGAAGUCCAAGAAUGUGUCUCAGAAUACAAUAAAAUAAUCAAAUUAGAUUAAAUAAAUAUUUCGAACCAUUAAAUCAAAUAUUGUGAAAUGAACCGUCUUCAUGUUUCAAUACCAGAUAUUUGGAGCAAAGGUCUGACUGAGUCAGCAGACUUACCAUUCUUUACACAUAAGAAUUCCUCAGUUCCUACUGAAACAUAUUCAAGGCUAGUUCAAAUACUUGGAUGCACUAUAUAAAGAUGUGUUCAAUCACUUUACAACACUAAUGACAAAAAGGAAGGGGGGGGGAAUCAGAAGCCACCACUUGCUUUCUGUGCUCUGUCAUAUCCAAAACACCUGAUGAAAUGAAAAUAAUAAAGCAGCAGUGCUGUAUAACUGCUUUUAAAAUCACAUCAUGUAAGUGUUUAAUAAAAAAGGCUGCACAUUAAUUAUUCUAAGCGCAGUGUUUGGUCUUUUUAUUUGAGCAGUCUGCUGAAAAUGUAUCCUUUUGAGUAGUUGAUAAACUCAAUACAUGCAGCAGAAUAACUGUAGAGAUAUAUAUUUUUUCUUUUUGCUUCUAUAUAUUUUACUACAGCUCCUGGUGCUGUACUAGUGAAUGUACUAACUCACUCUCUAUUUUCUGAACAUACAAAGUGUCCUAUCAUGGUCUGCGUUGUAGCAUUAUUAUUUGAUACAUUUUGAAAAAGGUCCGACUUCAGUCACUAAAGGCACAAACUUCAACAUUUGCUGCGUAGUGUUACAAUUCUUGGAUGAAACUGGUGUAAGACGUAUACGUAAUGCAAAGAUCCCUCACACACAGACACCGACACAGACUUACAAACACGCUUGAACAGUAACAAAACUAUCAAAUUCCCAUCCAGCCAAAACCCUGUUAAAAAUAAAAUAAGGCGGCUCUAUGAUCAUUACGGCCUGACAAUGCCAAUUACCAAUACAGUAUCUCUAUUUUGUCUGUAAAAGGCAAUAGAAGGAUUAACUUCAGGCCUCUCUGCUUCCCCUCUUUCCUCUCACAGAGCAGACUAUGUUUACUGACUAAUCUCCUUUCCUGCUUUGACCAUAAAUGUGAUUACCACCACACAAGAGAUAAUAAAACCCCAUAUCUCUGCUGUACCAAAGAGUAUGAAUUAAAACCUAAGCUGUAGCCUUGAGGAAUAUAGAAAAGAAGGGGGGGGGGACACAGAAAAGGGAGUAUUUGGUGAUGAGUGCAUACAGCCCCCUACUGGUAAACACCAUUCACUAUUUAGCCAAAUACAACACAACAAGCUCCAUGAUCUUCUGUUGAAUGCCAGCAACAGUUGCAGUGAAGUGAACAGCAGGGAAUGAACAGCCUGGGCGUCUGGCUGUCUGGGAGGGCUGAUACUUUCAACAAAGGGGCAGACUGGACUUCCUACUACAGAACACCUUACCAGAACAAUUACCAUGGUAACCACUGAGCAGAUGACAACAUUUCCUCAGCAAUGAGCCAAUGGUUGCCUGUUAAGAGUUGAACACAGACAAUUUACUUGAUUCUCCAACGCCUGAUGUGAGCUUUAUAGAUGCCAGCCAACUCAGGAUGGAUGCUGUUUCAAAGACGACAGCUCAUCAAGAUGAGUGACAAGUGUUGGGUUUGGAAUUUUGGCCAAUUGAGGUGGAGGCAUGCAAGACUAACAACAUACUUCCUGCCUCAAGGCAAAAACCUGUAGGUUUAAGUUUGAAAUGGCAAUGCUUUUUGUCUGAUCCAGAGAUUUGGGUUUUUAAUUAAAAAACAACAAGAUUUUAUUCAGUUGUGACAGUCUGCUCAUUUUCACAAAACCACUUAAAUCAGCCGAUUAGAUUUAUCAAGGCAGUCAGUAAGACGAUGAUUUCAAACAUGAGCACUCACACACACGCACACACAGUAGCACUUAGCAGGAACCCUAUAUAAGCUUGUGACCUUUACCUCUAAAGUACAGCAUUAAAAUUCAUAGGCAAAGCAACAGUCUUUCUGCUGUUUAUCUUUGUGACAGAAAGGCAGUUGUUUCAUAACUGAUUACUAGACAUAAAGGCAGUAUUCCUGACAACAAAUGAGUACUAUAGUGUGCAUGAAUAUUAAGCGGCUAUUAUUGUUUUUUUUAUAUCAACAAUAGAUCACAUGACACUAAUCAGUAGGUGAUUCAUUGAUUAUUUUUUUUAGAAAUUAGAUAAACCCAAAGAUAUUAUUUAAUAUUAGUUAGUAACAGUCAUUAUUAUCAGCUCCAUGUGGCUUAUAUAUAUCAUCUUUUAGUUCAUUGUUUUUGUUUUAUGGUCCACAACUUCAUUGUUUUGAUUCACUCUCAGCAGAAGGCAGCUGUUUUCAUAGCAAUUGCAUGCAGUGCAAUGCAGCAUAUUAUAGCAGUUGAAGAGAAAGAUAUCUCUUCAGAUAUUUAGUGGGGACCAAAACCAGAGCUAAAAGGAGACUGGAUAUUUGACAAAUAUGAAUGCUAAUGUUGCUCUGAUGUGUAAAUAAGUAAAUAUCAGCAAAUAAGUUUGCCAUAUCAACUUUAAAAGAUAACAAUAUGUCAGUGUUGUGUUUUAAAGCUUGUUUGUGCUGUCCCCAAGUGGCCCAAAAAUCUGUUACUGUAGGUUGAAAUAAGUCUAAACCAAUGUUAAACUUAUUUUCGUCCACCUUACUAGGCCAUUGCCCAUCAGAACUGUGCUGAAAAAUGCUUGUUUGACCUUUGAAACUUAAAUUUAUCUUAAAUCUAUUUGUAUUUUUUCCUUCCAGCAUCAUUUUAUAUAAUACGUAGUUCAGCUACAGCAAUUUGUAUGUACCAAUAACACAUAAACAUGAAUAAACCCAUUUGUUCCUGUUAACUUGUCACACAGACAAAUGAAUGUACACAAAAAUGGCAGGUUUUAUGGACUCAGGGUGUAUUCUUGCGCAGUGUAAAUGUACAUAACUGUGACAGAGCUUAACUGCAGUUAUUCAUCAUGAAAUGAUUUUCUGUCCAUACAUUUAUUUAUGUGUUGGUGUUUUAAUAAUGGAUGAAGAGAAAUGCGUCGGGUUGAGAUAUGGUCCUAGGUGCCAAAUCUUUAAACCGCAGUUCAUACACUUUGGCCUUUACUGAGAUCCUGAGUUAAGACAGGGAAGACUACUAAAGCUACAUUUGUUGUGCACAACCCACUCUGUCCUGGAGUUGCAGGAGAAGAUGCACAGCCUCCUGCAAGAUGUAAUUCAUAUUCAUCACCUCAACUUAAGAUGAUUAUGAUAACUCGGAUUUACGUCCACAAGACUCCGAUCAUUAAUGCUUGGGGGUGACAUUGAUCAAAGCUACAAUCUCAGAAUGAAGUGAUAACUUGGUGAACUUUAUCUGCAUGGAAAUAAAUGACUCAGGUGUGGAAGUAUCUUUAGGGACGCUCUGCAUAACCAGGUUUGAAGGCACCUGAGGGUGGUGAAACUUCACUUAGAGGAAGCAACAGGGUGGGCUAAAGCAGAGUCUGUUAUGUUCUAUAUAUCUUCAAAUAGAGCUCUAGUGUGAAGAUAUAGUUUGGAAAGGUGUGAGGCAACCUCUGGUAAUAUGUUGCUUGGGGAAUCCUAUCCUUUUAAUACAUCUCCCAACAUUAAUGUAGUUGGUCUGUGAAGGUUUCUUGCCAAGAUUGUGUCAGGUUCAGUUGAUGCUUCUUCUGAUACUUCCUAUCUCCUGAGGAUUUCAGACUGAACCAAAUCCUGACCUUCAUAUUUCUCAGCUUCCUGUCUCACAUUACGUGUUUACCUGUGACAACACAUCAGUCAUCACGUUUCCACCUUACCAACUCUGUUUUCUAUUCUGGUGGCACAUAGUACAAAACAUAUCUUUAACAUAACUGUCAUCUCUCAGGGGGCCUACUGGGCAUUAUGUAUAACAAAUUACUUUACUAAGGCAGCAGCUAUUUCCAACAUUGGUUAAAGGGUGCAGCUCGGAUGUGGGAUUUGCUCAGAUAUCGAAAUAUAGCAAUGGUGAGGUAUUCAUUAAUGAAGUAAUGAGGCACCCAAAUCUUUACUAAGGACUGUACUAUAUACUGUACCCUAGUAAGGAAACAUUUAACAUGGUCAUGUGUGUUUCAUUUAUAGGGUACAAGCAACAGUACAAUAACAGCAGUUAAUUAAUAAUAGCAAUGGAGUACCAAUGAUUCAUUCAUGGCCACUGUUACAACUGAACAGCUCUAAUAAUUCAGUAUCAGUCUACAUUUGUGUCUAUGGAUCAGGUUUUGUUCAUCUUGAAUCCUGUGUAAAUACUCCCAUGAGUUUCACAUUUGUUUUUAGUUAUAUGCAACCUUUGAUUGGAUGAUAUUUGGUACAGAAAUUCUCCCCCCUCAGUAUAUUGUCACAGCUUUGGUGGCUGUUUCCCAGGUCAAAAGUAAAAAUUUGGUUUAUGACCAAAUACCUGCAAAAAUUAUGGCAUUUCUGUCAGCCAUAGCUGUACUUUGUGUUUAGUGCUACUUUACAAAUGUUUGCAGCAUGGACUGGGGCCAAAAAGUUACAACUGAUAGUAAACAUGGCAAACAUUAUACCUGCUUAACAUAUACAUGUUGGCAUUAUCAUUGUGAGCAUAUUAGCAUGCUAAAUUUAUCAUUUACCUCACAGCACCACUGUGCCUUAGUAGAUACUGACACACAGAGCAUCACAUCCAAAUGUUUUUGUAUCUAUUGUAUCUGUUGAUUCACAGGUUGAACAACUUUUAGACAUCUAGGUGAAAGGUUUGGAUGAAUCUGUGCUAUGGUGCUCCCCACUGUGCGUCAGAUCCUCCUCCUUUGUUGUAUGUUUGUGGCUGGAAUGUCUAGGGAAUCUACAGCCAAUCAGACUAUGCUUGGGAUAGAGCAGAAUGUUCUGCCAAGACUUCUGAUUGCUUUAACAGUAUUACACUGUUAAAACUGAAUUUGAAAAAUCUCAUCUCGCAGGUUCCUUACAGCAUCUGGAUUGAUGUUAAAUGUACACCAUUUUGGGUUAUUGCCAGUGUACUGCAAUGGAUUUUAUUUUAUUUUAAAAAAUUAUUUUUGCCUUCCCUCUCUAGAGAGUAUUAUUAUGCGUCUAAUACUGUCUUUUUAUAAGAAAGCUUUUCACUGCAAUUAAUGAAAUACUGAUGAUGACAGCUGUGGUGAAAUGUUACAGCUGUCUUUGUCAUGACAAGUAGGGCUUUGUUUAAACUUCACCUCAUCUUUUAUUCUUCCAGUCAGACUUCAUAGUCCUUUCAUUUUACUCUUUUAGGCACUGUCACCAUGUCCCUAACCAUUCUAGGAAAGUCUUUGGAGCAUCCUCCUAAGAAUUUUCAUCUUUCAGGUUUUUCUCCCUGCCCUUUAAGACUCUGAUUUCUUGGCUCACUAUUCCUUGCAAUAAAUAACUCUAUUCCUUCCUCUUUACUUUGUCGUGGCCCUCACAUGAAAAAAGACAUAAAUAUGUAAAAAAAAAUCACUACUGUAUUGCUGAAUAUAUACCUUAUUCUUAUUCUUCCCUUUUAUAUAUAUUUUUCCGACAAAAAACAAAACAAAAAACAACAAGGGCUUAAAGGGUUUCUUUUUGCUGUUUUUUUCUCUUUCUAUCUGACUAAAACUUCUCUCCCACUAACAAAAACUAUAUUAAAUUAAUACAAUUAAUAUGUACUCUACAGGAACAAAUUGUGUGAUCAUGGCACUGUUAGAACAGUUUUGUUUUAUCCAAAUUAUAAAUCAUUCUGUCACCACCUUCCAAAGAGGUUUUGCUGUGUUUUAAGGAUGUCAAGCUACAUUUGCCUUUAGUUCUGAGACACAACCGUCAUUCAUUUGGAUGACCACAUGAGGUUGCUUGUCAGGAAAAGACAAGGCUUAGGCUUCAACUAAUGAUUAUAUAUAUUUUUGUUUACUCUGCAGAUUAUUUUCUUGUUUGAUUGAUUAAUUGUUUGGUCUAUACCAUGUCAAAAAAAAAUAAAAUAAAUACCCAUCACAAUUUGUUGCUUCAACCAAGUUUAAUACAUAGUAGAGUUUUAGUGUUCUUCACUCUUUAACACUGUGUGGUUAUGUAUCAACAUUUAUAUGCACUGUUUUUAUACUUCUUUCAUCUUAUGUUCUAUGUGCUAUUUUUAGCGUCUGUCAAUUUAGCAGCAAAACACAUGUUUGCAAAGUUUCCCCACGUAUUCAAGUAUUGUAAUACUCGCCUCUAUGUAUAAACCAUAAAGAAAUUAAAUGCAGUGUUA